AUGCCUGGGAAACCAGGACCUCCUGGACCUAAGGGUCUUAUGGGACUGAAAGUAAUAGGAGCCAAAGGAAGAAAGGGUGACACUGGGUUAACUGGACCCCCUGGGCCCCCAGGAACUGUUAUUGUGACGUUAAGUGGACCAGACAACAUGACGGACUUGAAAGGAGAAAAAGGAGAAAAAGGAUCAAGAGGACCCCCAGGGCCAAUGGGGUUUACAGGGCCGGUUGGUGACUCUCUAAGUGAAAAGGGUGACCAAGGAGAACCAGGAGCACAGGGAAAGCCUGGAAAAGAAGGUGCCCCAGGUCCACCUGGUUUACCGGUAAUGAAGGAACCCUUCUAAAUGUUUUCUAAGUUAUAGUCAUCUGUUUAUGACAGUUCUAUCUUUCUGUCACAGCUUUUCUCUCAUUCUGGAAUGUGUUUCAAAAUGUUUAUUUGCAUACACUGAAACAUUUCCUUCACACAGCUGGCUUUGGAAAAUACCAUAUCCUCACAGAUUUAUGUGCAGGAGGCAGAGGCUCAGUUCAUAUAUGUUAUUGUUUCUAUGUCAAAUAGAAAGACCCGUUGCUUGCUGCUGACUCUCUAAUGAGUUUGAGACACACUCCAAGUUAAGCAAAAGUAAUUCUGCUGAGUUUUUUAUGGUUAGUCACAUUUAAUUUUUUGCAAAAUUCUUAUACCUUCCCUUUAACAUAAAUCGAGAAGAGAAAUGAAUAGUGUGUAAUCACUAGGAUCAAAGACAUUGUUUUGUGAAGAAAAGUUAUUGUCAGGGUCAUGGCUGUCUUAGCCUGGAACAAGAUAACUGAUAGCUAUUAAACUGUCAAUUUGUCAACAUAUAGUUCUUAAAAUAUGCUGUUUUAGAAGCAAAAUAGUCUCAUUUGUAUACUAAUUUAGAAGUUGGAGUUGUUCAAAUGUGUUUGAAAUACUGUAUUAAAUUGGUUAAAUAUCAGUUCUUUUUACUUCAUCUCUACUUUCACAUCAUUAGAGUCACAAUGACCUUACAAAUAUCUUACCAAAAUUCUUACUGCCAGAAUAGCCCAUUGCACAUGUAUCUACUAUACCAUCAUCUUUGUCAUGCUAAAACGACCUUCACAGGCAGUCUAAACACAUUCCAGUCUGACAAAGAACACUGAAUGACAGACUGCAAAACUCUACUGCCUCAGCUAACAGAAAGAAAAUUUUCUGUCAUGACAAAGGCAAGUCAUUGCUCUGUUCCCAUUUCAGCUUUACUCACUAGCAAUGCAUUCAACUGCAUGAGCCUCCAAGAAGUCCCUCUCCCUUGCCUGUAUUCAUUUGCAGAAAGCCUUAGUCUGCACUAUUUUCUCUGGUGCUGCUGACACCUCUUGAGAUCAGCACCAUCUGCAGACUGAGUUCUGGGGGAGGGUGUUGAGUAGGAGAGUCUUGUAUUGUGUUCAGCUUCUCCCCUUCAGAAAUAGUUUGCAGAGGGAGAACAGAUCA
RNAcentral lists this long non-coding RNA (1451 nucleotides) under Ficedula albicollis (Collared flycatcher). RNAcentral describes it as "lncRNA (ENSFALG00000028537.1)". The record is from RNAcentral. Lineage: Eukaryota; Metazoa; Chordata; Aves; Passeriformes; Muscicapidae.